RNAcentral lists this long non-coding RNA (415 nucleotides) under Mus pahari (shrew mouse). RNAcentral describes it as "lncRNA (MGP_PahariEiJ_G0002711.1)". The record is from RNAcentral. Lineage: Eukaryota; Metazoa; Chordata; Mammalia; Rodentia; Muridae.
AGGAGCACUUGACUCCAUGGGCAGGAUCUUGCAGGGGAAGCAGUGACCAGGUUCUGCAGAGAGCAGGACGAGUGCUGGUGACAGUGGUGAAGAGGCAGAGUUAGUGUCUCCCAUAGAAAAUGGCCUGGCAAGAGUGCGAGUGGCAGGAGAAACAGAGCCAUUUGUGUCAAGGGCCGCGUAAAGAGCAGUGGGCCAGCUAUCCAGGUUUGGGAUGCCUGGCACUCAUGCUCUGGGGAAGAAUAUGAAGAGGAUGCUCCUACUGCCAAUGACUGAAACACAUACAGACUGACACCCUUACUGAAAUCCUGCCUGAUUGUUCAGAUACCAGGGGCUGAAAACUGUGAACCCCAUGAAGGCCUUGGGGAAGAACCCCUCCCUUUCAGUUGACUGAAACAUUAAAUCACCCCUUCCCCGC